This 440-nucleotide ribosomal RNA is filed under the name uncultured bacterium. RNAcentral describes it as "partial 16S ribosomal RNA". It matches the Rfam family "Bacterial small subunit ribosomal RNA", at positions 338 to 795 of the family's 1533-position model. The record is from RNAcentral.
CCUACGGGUGGCAGCAGUAGGGAAUAUUGCACAAUGGGGGAAACCCUGAUGCAGCGACGCCGCGUGCGCGAUGAAGUCCUUCGGUAUGUAAAGUUCUAUCAUCAGGGAAGAAAAUGAUGGUAACUGAUUAAUAAGCCUCGGCUAACUACGUGCCAGCCGCCGCGGUCAUACGUAGGGGGCAAGCGUUAUCCGGAUUUACUGGGUGUAAAGGGAUCGUAGACGGCUAGGCAAGCCAGCUGUGAAAGGCUGGGGCGAAACCCCAAGACUACAUUUGGAACUGUCAUGCUAGAGUGUCGGAGAGGCAGGCGGAAUUCCUAGUGUAGGGUUGAAAUGCGUAGAUAUUAGGAGGAACACCAGUGGCGAAGGCAGGCUGCUGGACGGUGUCUGACGUUGAGGCUCGAAAGCGUGGGGAGCAAACGGGAUUAGAUACCCUUGUAGUC